CCAAAUCUUUGUUUUGAGAAAAAAAAAAUGGAAAAUGAGAAUAAAAAGGGAUAGGUGCAGAGACUCAAUGGAAGCUGUUCUAACGAAUGAAAUUGACUACGUUACGUUAGUAGCUAAAAUCCUUCCAGAAAGGAUAACCUUAUAUACCUAAUACAUACGUAUACAUACUGACAUAGCAAACGGAUUAAUCACAACCCGAACCUUCUAUUUUAUAAUACAUAUUAGUCUUAUAUACUAUAUACUAUUAUGAUAUGAGUAUUAGUAAGAGUAUAGGAUAGGGAUCUAUGGAAACCCUCUAUUUCUAUUCUCUAUUAAUUACUAUUAAUUAGAAUGAUAGAGAUCAAAAAAUCUAUCAAAAAUUGAAGAAUUAUUGUGAAUCAAUUCCAAUUGAAGUUGAAAAAAGAAUCGAAUUCAAAUAUUCAGUGAUCAAAUGAUUCAUUCCAGAGUUUGAUAGAUCUUUUGAAGAUUAAUUGGACGAGAAUAAAGAGAGAGUCCCAUUUUACAUGUCAAUACCGACAACAAUGAAAUUUAUAGUAAGAGGAAAAUCCGUCGAAUUUGAAAAUCGUGAGGGUUCAAGUCCCUCUAUCCCCAAGAAAAAGCCCAUUUUACUUCCUCACUCUUUCUUUAUCCUCAUCCUCUUUUUUUUAAUCAGUGGUUCAGUUCAAACAAAAUUCAAUAUCUUUCUCAUUUCAUUCACUCUGUUCUUUUGCAACUGGAUCCAAAUAGAAAUCCUCGUAUCUUCUUCCAAUCUUGUAUAGUACGAUACCUGUACAAAUGAACAUAUAUGUUCAAGGAAUCUCCGUUAUUGAAUCAUUCACAGUCCAUAUCAUUAUACAAAGAAAGUCUUCUUUUUGAAGACCUAAGAAAUUCAGGGGCUAGGUCCAAUUUGUUAAGACUUUUUUAGUUCCUUU
RNAcentral lists this unclassified non-coding RNA (911 nucleotides) under Epipactis helleborine. RNAcentral describes it as "contains tRNA-Leu (trnL) intron and 3' exon, and trnL-trnF intergenic spacer region". The record is from RNAcentral. Lineage: Eukaryota; Viridiplantae; Streptophyta; Magnoliopsida; Asparagales; Orchidaceae.